GACGAACGCUGGCGGCGUGCUUAACACAUGCAAGUCGAACGGAAAGGCCUCAGCUUGCUGGGGUACUCGAGUGGCGAACGGGUGAGUAACACGUGGGUGAUCUGCCUUGCACUCUGGGAUAAGCUUGGGAAACUGGGUCUAAUACCGGAUAUGAACUGCCUUUAGUGUGGUGGUUGGAAAGUUUUUUCGGUGCAAGAUGAGCUCGCGGCCUAUCAGCUUGUUGGAGGGGUAAUGGCCUACCAAGGCGUCGACGGGUAGCCGGCCUGAGAGGGUGUACGGCCACAUUGGGACUGAGAUACGGCCCAGACUCCUACGGGAGGCAGCAGUGGGGAAUAUUGCACAAUGGGCGGAAGCCUGAUGCAGCGACGCCGCGUGGGGGAUGACGGCCUUCGGGUUGUAAACUCCUUUCGACAGGGACGAAGCUUUUUGUGACGGUACCUGUAUAAGAAGCACCGGCUAACUACGUG
RNAcentral lists this ribosomal RNA (467 nucleotides) under uncultured bacterium. RNAcentral describes it as "partial 16S ribosomal RNA". It matches the Rfam family "Bacterial small subunit ribosomal RNA", at positions 28 to 507 of the family's 1533-position model. The record is from RNAcentral.